RNAcentral lists this ribosomal RNA (508 nucleotides) under uncultured bacterium. Its description in RNAcentral is "bacterial SSU rRNA". It matches the Rfam family "Bacterial small subunit ribosomal RNA", at positions 10 to 507 of the family's 1533-position model. The record is from RNAcentral.
AGUUUGAUCAUGGCUCAGAGUGAACGCUGGCGGCAGGCCUAAUACAUGCAAGUCGAACGGCAGCACAGCAGAGCUUGCUCUGGUGGGUGGCGAGUGGCGGACGGGUGAGGAAUACAUGGGAAUCUGCCCAGUCGUGGGGAUAACGUAGGGAAACUUACGCUAAUACCGCAUGCGCCCUUCGGGGGAAAGCCGGGGACCUUCGGGCCUGGCGCGAUUGGAUGAGCCCAUGUCGGAUUAGCUAGUUGGCGGGGUAAUGGCCCACCAAGGCGACGAUCCGUAGCUGGUCUGAGAGGAUGAUCAGCCACACUGGAACUGAGACACGGUCCAGACUCCUACGGGAGGCAGCAGUAGGGAAUAUUGGACAAUGGGCGCAAGCCUGAUCCAGCCAUGCCGCGUGAGUGAAGAAGGCCCUCGGGUUGUAAAGCUCUUUUGUCCGGAAAGAAAAGCGCCGGGUUAAUACCCUGGUGUCCUGACGGUACCGGAAGAAUAAGCACCGGCUAACUUCGUG